This 253-nucleotide ribosomal RNA is filed under the name uncultured bacterium. RNAcentral's name for it is "partial 16S ribosomal RNA". It matches the Rfam family "Bacterial small subunit ribosomal RNA", at positions 524 to 776 of the family's 1533-position model. The record is from RNAcentral.
CACGGGGGGAGCAAGCGUUGUUCGGAAUCACUGGGCGUAAAGGGCGUGUAGGCGGUCCAGUAAGCGGAAUGUGAAAGCCCCCGGCUUACCCGGGGAUCUGCAUCCCAAACUGCUUGGCUUGAGUACGGGAGAGGAUGGAGGAAUUCCUGGUGUAGCGGUGAAAUGCGUAGAUAUCAGGAGGAACACCGGUGGCGAAGGCGUCCAUCUGGCCCGAUACUGACGCUGAGGCGCGAAAGCUAGGGGAGCGAACGGG